CCCCAAGGAUAAAACCUUCACAUGUCCGACCAUCUGAUCUCCACCAGAGCCUGAAAAGGUGUAGUCAGCUGGAGAAGAUGGAUAACCUGUUCCUGAUGGAACAGUCUGAGGGGA
Molecule: small nucleolar RNA, 114 nt
Organism: Rana temporaria (common frog)
Lineage: Eukaryota; Metazoa; Chordata; Amphibia; Anura; Ranidae
Product: small nucleolar RNA SNORD22
Exons: 1
Source: RefSeq, a predicted model, not a curated record